UCACACCAACUAAUACUCAUACAGCUGAGCUCAGUGUUUUAAAGAAGUCUAAAUCAUGACGAGGAAUGAUGAAGCGGAAUGUUUGUUUACUUAUUGACGAAAACCAAAGCAGAAUGUGUCGGAUGAUUUAGGAGGAGAUUGCAGGCUAGGAUGACGGGAGGAUAUUGGCGAGGAAGUACGCUGUCCGGUUGAUUCGUGGUGAGCCGUGUUUCUAGCAGGAACGAGUGGCGGAGGAGUCGAAGACAUUGCUCCCAUAGAGUGUGUCGACGGCGAAUACUGAUACGUUUGAGGAACAGGCGAAUUGGCCGUGGUGCCAGAUGAAAGAGGAUAGUUGUCCGAACUUCUUAGGCGAAAGCGUUCAGGUAUUUUUGGAUAGGUAUUGGUUCUGCACAUUACAUUAAUAACAUUAGCACAAAAGAACGUAAAAUUAGGUACCAAAUUAUAGAAGACAUACCUAGUAGCAGGAUUGCCCGAUUGUACUUGAAUUUGCUGCUGUAUCACGGCAGGACUGCUGCCGGUCCGUGAAUGAUUCGGAGUACCAGUGGAAGAAAUCUUAACAAUAAAUGCACCAUUAAUACAAUGUACAAUUUCAACUAACGAA
This is a long non-coding RNA of Anopheles gambiae (African malaria mosquito), 601 nucleotides long. RefSeq lists it as uncharacterized. Lineage: Eukaryota; Metazoa; Arthropoda; Insecta; Diptera; Culicidae. The transcript has 2 exons. The record is from RefSeq and is a predicted model, not a curated record.